ACGCUCGACACCUACGGGAGGUAGCAGUGGGGAAUAUUGCACAAUGGGGGAAACCCUGAUGCAGCGACGCCGCGUGGAGGAAGAAGGUCUUCGGAUUGUAAACUCCUGUUGUUGGGGAAAAAGNGGAUGGUACCCAACAAGGAAGUGACGGCUAACUACGUGCCGGCAGCCGCGGUAAUCUGAGCGGGCUGGCAAGGC
Molecule: ribosomal RNA, 198 nt
Filed under: uncultured bacterium
Lineage: Bacteria
Description: partial 16S ribosomal RNA
Rfam family: Bacterial small subunit ribosomal RNA
Source: RNAcentral